This 469-nucleotide ribosomal RNA is filed under the name uncultured bacterium. Its description in RNAcentral is "partial 16S ribosomal RNA". It matches the Rfam family "Bacterial small subunit ribosomal RNA", at positions 28 to 507 of the family's 1533-position model. The record is from RNAcentral.
GACGAACGCUGGCGGCGUGCUUAACACAUGCAAGUCGAACGGAAAGGCCCUGCUUGCAGGGUGCUCGAGUGGCGAACGGGCGAGUAACACGUGGGUGAUCUGCCCCUUAUUUUGGGAUAAGCCUGGGAAACUGGGUCUAAUACUGGAUAGGACCAUGCUGUAGGUGGUGUGGUGGAAAGAUUAGUUUCGGUAAGGGAUGAGCUCGCGGCCUAUCAGCUUGUUGGUGGGGUAAUGGCCUACCAAGGCGUCGACGGGUAGCCGGCCUGAGAGGGUGGACGGCCACAUUGGGACUGAGAUACGGCCCAGACUCCUACGGGAGGCAGCAGUGGGGAAUAUUGCACAAUGGGCGCAAGCCUGAUGCAGCGACGCCGCGUGGGGGAUGGCGGCCUUCGGGUUGUAAACUCCUUUCAGCCAUGACGAAGCCCUUGUGGUGACGGUAGUGGUAGAAGAAGCACCGGCUAACUACGUG